UCCUUCGUGGUGUAGUGGCCAGCACGCUCGGCUCAUAUUUGAGAGGUCCAGGUUCUAGUCCCGGCGUGGCAU
RNAcentral lists this transfer RNA (72 nucleotides) under Stegodyphus mimosarum. It matches the Rfam family "tRNA". Rfam says of the family: Transfer RNA (tRNA) molecules are approximately 80 nucleotides in length. The record is from Rfam by way of RNAcentral. Lineage: Eukaryota; Metazoa; Arthropoda; Arachnida; Araneae; Eresidae.